GUGAAGAACGUAGCAAAAUGCGAUAAGUAGUGUGAAUUGCAGAAUUCAGUGAAUCAUCGAAUCUUUGAACGCACAUUGCGCCCCUUGGUAUCCCGAGGGGCAUGCCUGUUCGAGCGUCAUUUCACCACUCAAGCCUGGCUUGGUGUUGGGCGACGUCCUCUUUGGGGACGCGCCUCGAAACGCUCGGCGGCGUGGCACCGGCUUUAAGCGUAGCAGAAUCUUUCGCUUUGGAAGUCGGGGCCCCGUCUGCCGGAAGACCUGCUCGCAAGGUUGACCUCGGAUCAGGCAGGGAUACCCGCUGAACUUAAGCAUAUCAAUAAGCGGAGGA
This 328-nucleotide unclassified non-coding RNA is filed under the name soil metagenome. RNAcentral's name for it is "partial contains 5.8S ribosomal RNA, internal transcribed spacer 2, and large subunit ribosomal RNA". The stretch from base 2 to 119 matches the Rfam family "5.8S ribosomal RNA", at positions 37 to 154 of the family's 154-position model. The record is from RNAcentral.